AUACGUAGGGAGCGAGCGUUGUCCGGAAUUACUGGGUGUAAAGGGUGCGUAGGCGGGACGGCAAGUCAGAUGUGAAAUACCGGGGCUCAACCCCGGGGCUGCAUUUGAAACUGUCGUUCUUGAGUGAGGUAGAGGUAAGCGGAAUUCCUAGUGGAGCGGUGAACUGCGUAGAUAUUAGGAGGAACAUCGGUGGCGAAGGCGGCUUACUGGGCCUUUACUGACGCUGAGGCACGAAAGCGUGGGGAGCAAACAGGAUUAGAUACCCUGGUAGUCCACGCUGUAAACGAUGAUGACUAGGUGUGGGGGGACUGAACCCUUCCGUGCCGCAGUUAACACAAUAAGUCAUCCACCUGGGGAGUACGGCCGCAAGGUUGAAACUCAAAUGAAUUGACGGGG
This 396-nucleotide ribosomal RNA is filed under the name uncultured bacterium. Its description in RNAcentral is "partial 16S ribosomal RNA". It matches the Rfam family "Bacterial small subunit ribosomal RNA", at positions 523 to 918 of the family's 1533-position model. The record is from RNAcentral.